AGGACGGCCACGUGACUGUAACGAUAUUCCAGAUUGGUGUCCAAAUGGCGUUUAUAAAGUUUAUCCUAGACAUACAACUGGAUUUGAAGUGUACUGCGAAAUGGCAAUAGAUGGAGGACACUGGACUGUAAGCUUUUGGUUAUCAUGAUGGUAGACUGAGUUGCUAUUCGAACAAUUGAAUAAAGGUGGCAUCAAAUUAAGUCACGUCUAAAUGUAUUUUAUUUCAAUUUUUACCUAUUUUCUUUCUUUUUCAUAUUUGAUUCUUUUCUGAUGAAGAUAUAUUCAUUUAAGACCAAACGACAUAAAACAAAUGUAAAAACAUUAACUUAAAUGUUCAUAUACAAAACAGUUUACGAGUCAUGUCAAUUAUUUGCUCUUCGAGGAUGUUUCGUACUGUUUUGUUUUGUGUUAGUUUUGUUUUGAAACAAGUAAAAGGGAAAAAAUUAUCUGAUAAAAAGUAACAGCAUUAAAUAAAAACAAAAUAUGGCAAACAGUAAAUUACGAUAACCAACGGGUAACAGUGUUAUGAGUUAACGUUGGUACAGGCAUCAAUAAAUGUAUCAAAAGAAAAAAAAUAAAGAAAAAUACUCCACAAUAAUUUCAGGUUUUCCAAAGACGAGAAAACGGAUAUGUUGAUUUCCUCCGUGGAUGGAAUGACUACAAAUAUGGUUUCGGAUACCUCAAGCAUGAAUUCUGGCUUGG
RNAcentral lists this long non-coding RNA (702 nucleotides) under Mytilus galloprovincialis (Mediterranean mussel). The record is from RNAcentral. Lineage: Eukaryota; Metazoa; Mollusca; Bivalvia; Mytilida; Mytilidae.